This 7275-nucleotide long non-coding RNA is filed under the name Arabidopsis lyrata. Its description in RNAcentral is "long non-coding RNA (ALYR_LNC001107)". Lineage: Eukaryota; Viridiplantae; Streptophyta; Magnoliopsida; Brassicales; Brassicaceae. The record is from RNAcentral.
CGGAAGAGUUAGCUGCAUGAAGGUAAUGUCCUAUAAAAACUGUAUUUUGUCAUGUGUAAUUAGUGAAAUUGAACAAAACUUAGAAUAAUUGGAAUUGGGAGUUAUAGGUGUGGCCACCAAUUGGAAAGAAGAAGUUUGAGACUCUAUCUUACCUCCCUGACCUUACUGACGUCGAAUUGGCUAAGGAAGUUGACUACCUUCUCCGCAACAAGUGGAUUCCUUGUGUUGAAUUCGAGUUAGAGGUAAUAAACACUGGACCUUUCGUUUGUCUCUAAUCAUUAUAUAUUAUUUUCUUACAUAGCUAAAAACCAAAGUCAAUAAGCUUAUUUUCGUUUGUCUCUAAUCAUUGUUCAUUGAAUGGAUUUCGUAUUCAUUUAUAGCAUGGAUUUGUGUACCGUGAGCAUGGAAACACACCUGGAUACUACGAUGGACGGUACUGGACAAUGUGGAAGCUUCCAUUGUUCGGAUGCACCGACUCCGCUCAAGUGUUGAAGGAAGUGCAAGAGUGCAAGAAGGAGUACCCUAACGCCUUCAUUAGGAUCAUCGGAUUUGACAACAACCGUCAAGUCCAGUGCAUCAGUUUCAUUGCCUACAAGCCCCCAAGCUUCACUGAUUCUUAAUUAAAUCCUUUCUGGAAUAUUCAAUGUUGACUAUCCGGAACAAUUUUGUAUGGUCAAUGUAAAUUUAAGUAACUAUUAUCUAGCCAACUUAAACGUUGAGCAAUUGUUUUGCGAAAAGUGAAAAAGUUGAAGGUUUAUUUUCUAUCAUUUCCUCUAUAAUUAUAUCUAUUCAUAUCAUUUCAUUUUUGAUCUUAUCACUUUGAACUCUUUCAUCUUCGAUUUAGCUCUUUUAAGCAACAUUUUAUUUCCUUUACAUUUCCCUCCUAAUUUUUGCUUUUGAUUCUCUAGACUAACCUAUAAUAGAAGAGAGACCUUUUUAGAUACCUUUUUGGAAAAACUUUGCACAUGAAAUCAUAACAAAGAUGCCUCAAUAAAUCAAAUCUCGAAAGGGCCAGUACCUUGUGACUUAGAUGGAUGGGCUAGGACGAUCUCGCUUUCGAAAAAAAGAUUUAUUUGAUUUUGCUGUGGGUGGAGCAAUGUUGACUACCUCCGCACUAUUUUCUUGAACGGUUUUGGCUAUUUUGUACCUUGUACGCGCUUCUGCUCACGGGAAAUUUGUGAGCUUUAAGUUGGUAUUGUGGAUCCAUGACCAUAGCUUCUUCCUGUGGCCUUAGGGAGAGUUCUUGCCUCGGUUCCACACCGUCCAUUGAAGUGUGCUAUGAAAAUUCCCCACAAUCUGUCAUGUCUUCCAUGCUUAAGUUGACAUGGUGGAAAUCAUCUUGAGGUGCCACAUUUUAAGUGGGCCGUACGUGCAAUGGUGUGGUGCUCCGAAAGGAACGGUAGCAUGGGUUCCUAUAGCAUUGGAUCGUUUUCUAAACAAUAUGCAUUAUGUGUUUAUAAAUUUUAGUAAUUGUACAUACAUGUCCCAGUUUAAAAACAGAUUAACAUACAUUAUAAUUUUAAGGGCUGCCUAUAGCGUUACACCUAUACUAUAGCGUUUCAACUCCUAUCCACCUGUACUUUCGACCUCUGCCCAAUUCACCUUAUACUUGUUUUAAACUUCCUAAUUCCACCUAAACUAUUAAAUUCUCCAUAAUUAACCAAAAUCAAGAACUCUCUAUAAUUGCGAUUAAAAAUCGUUCAAAUCGCGUUUACUGUAGGCCAACCCGAGUCAGAUCCGACCAGCUUCGAAGACUUCUUUCACCAUAAGGGUUUGACUCGUGUUCAUUUGUUUUGUCGGGUCAACCUCGGAUUAAUAUAAACACAUAUUUUUUUACUGCAAUUUGAACUAUUUUUAAUCGUAAUUAUAGAGAGUUGGGCAGAUGUCGAAAGUACAUGUGGAUAGGAGUUGAAACGAUAUAUAUAGUAUAGUUGUAACGCUAUAGGCAGCCCUAAUUUUAAUAAGAAUGAUAUAAACUCAACUAAACUUCCUCUUCUUAGUUUGAAACUUUGCAUGACCAUUAACUCUCUUAUACUGCAUAAGACAUAAUUAGUGACAUAUUUUUUUCUUUCUAUUAUCAAUAUUUUCGUUAGCAUGUACUCGUUGUAAGAUGAAUAGAGAAAUAAUUGAAUUAUGAAAUAACGAAAUCAAUGUAUAUAUAUAUAAAACAAAAACAAUUUUACGCUGAACAAUUUUUUUUUAAAAAAAGGCAAAAAAAUUGCUUGUUUCAUAUUAUAGGAUGUUUUGGACCUUUUUUUUUGUUUCACAAUAUAUAAUGCUUUGAAGAAAAAAUACAAGUUUCUAUGUAAAACAUUAAAUUUAAUAGAUUAUUGACUAUUUACAUUAUGCAGUAAAUUAUAUCACUGAUUAAAUUAUUUUUAAUAGAUAUUAAUUUUUGUUUUAAUGUUAAAAACUCAAGAUUAGUUAAUUUCUUAAACUUUGUGCUUUCAUCUUUUUUUUUAUCUUUUUUUUUUGUCAUCCGAAAUUAAUUAUACCUCAAAAGAGAGAGUAUUAUUUGAAACAAAGAGAGUAUUAUUUAGCAGAUAAAUGACUUUUAUCUGAUUUAAUUAUAAUUUUAAAAUGUGCGGGAUGAAUUAAAAGAUCAUUUAUCAUUUUUCACGUUUUGUUUUUUUCCAGUUAGGUUUUUGUGAAUGGUUUUUACUCAGCGUAAUCAUGUUUUAAGAACAAGAACGUGAGAAAGUUAACAAAAUACCGUUGCAAGACUUUAUUUUUGUUUUACACAAAAUGUAGUUUUAUAUUUUCAAAGUAGUUUUUUUUAAUAGAAUUUACUUAUAUUCUUUUUAGUUAAGAUAAUCAAAUGGGAAAAUAAAAAUAUUAAUGUGUUAAUACAAGAUAAUAGAAAUUUAAUCAUUUUAAUAUAUAUGUAAAAAGUAUUCAACCGAUAUUUACAAUUAGACAGAACUAAGAAGUAUUAAAUUUCUCACCUCACCUCCCAAAAGAAAGGAGCCAAAAGCAACCGAUCAAGUGGAGACCAGUACUAGCCAUACACAUUCACUCGUUCCCUUACAAGAGAAAGAUAAGAUUAUGGAGUUUUCUGCCACUUGGUCUUAUCCUAGUGGUCCGAAUUGAUAAGGGUUUCAACACCUUUCCUUAAUCCUGUGGCAAUUAACGACGUUAUCAUGAAUUAUGGCCACUUUGAUCAUUAGGGCUUUUUGCCUUGCAGUUCUCACUAUAUAAAGAUGACCAAAUCAAUCGACAAACAAGUAAAAGAAACAACAAGAAGUAGUGAUGGCUUCAUCUAUGCUCUCCUCUGCCGCUAUGGUUACCUCCCCAGCUCAAGCCACCAUGGUCGCUCCAUUCACCGGCUUGAAGUCAUCCGCUGCUUUCCCGGUCACCCGCAAGGCCAACAACGACAUUACUUCUAUCUCAAGCAACGGCGGAAGAGUUAGCUGCAUGAAGGUAAUGUCCUAUAAAAACUGUAUUUUGUCAUGUGUAAUUAGUGAAAUUGAACAAAACUUAGAAUAAUUGGAAUUGGGAGUUAUAGGUGUGGCCACCAAUUGGAAAGAAGAAGUUUGAGACUCUAUCUUACCUCCCUGACCUUACUGACGUCGAAUUGGCUAAGGAAGUUGACUACCUUCUCCGCAACAAGUGGAUUCCUUGUGUUGAAUUCGAGUUAGAGGUACUAAACACCGAACUUUUCCUUUGUCUCUAAUCAUCCUUUAUUAUUUCUGUUCAUUGGUAGAAACAUAAGUCAAUAACCGGAUUUUAAAACCCGAAAUAGACUAUAACCGUGUGACUCCUCGACUAUCAAUGGUAUUGAAUGGUUUUGUCAUCUGUUUAUAGCACGGAUUUGUGUACCGUGAGCACGGAAACACUCCCGGAUACUACGAUGGACGGUACUGGACAAUGUGGAAGCUUCCAUUGUUCGGAUGCACCGAUUCUGCUCAAGUGUUGAAGGAAGUGCAAGAAUGCAAGAAGGAGUACCCUAAUGCCUUCAUUAGGAUCAUCGGAUUCGACAACAACCGUCAAGUCCAAUGCAUCAGUUUCAUUGCCUACAAGCCCCCAAGCUUCACCGAUGCUUAAUUCCCUUUCUGGAAUGUUCAACGUUGACUAGUAUUUCGGAAUCCAAUUCUAUGUGGUCAAUGCAAAUUUAAGAAAUUAAUUAGCCGACUUAAAAGUUGAGGAAUUAUUGUGUGAAAGUGAAAAAUUUGAAGGUUUUUUCUAUCAAUUUCCUUAUAAUUAUAUUUACUCAUUUGAUUUCAUUUUUUUUCUUCUAGCUCUUUGAGCUCUAUUUUUCGUUUAGCUCCUUUUGACAACAUUCCGGUUCAUUUAAAUUCUCCUCAUUAUUCUUGCUUUUGAGAAAUUGGCUACAUUGUUUCGAGAAAUUUUGCACAUGAAAGCAUAACAAAGAUGCCUCAAUUUAUCAAACCUCGAUGAUUUAGAACAAAAGAUUAUUUAAGGGGGUGUAACCUUUUAAGAUGAAAUAGCCAUUGGAGAUAGCAAAAGGUAGUAAAAGACGUAUACACUAUAAACAAAAUCCAAAUGUAUGCUUUUAAAAUUAUAAACAUGUAUUCCAAACGCCUAAGUGGAAUAUUCAGUUUAAUUCAAGUCCAAGAAAUGGCAUUAUAUAAAGCAAGGAUCGACAAAGACUGAAAUUUGUCUAGCAUGAAGUUACUAAAUUUUGGAAAUUGUGUUCACGUUAAAAGCUGAAACUUAACAGUUAUUUAUAAGGAAAAGCAGUUAAUGUUCCCAAAAAGUUCUAAAUGAAACUAGAAACCAAAUGAUAAAGAAAACGUAGCAUCUACAUGUUUGGUUUUAGUUUUUUUUUUUUUGACAAAAAUAUUCAAAUGUUUUUAGAUUCUUCUAUGCAAACGAUAUAUAGAAAAUAUAUACAUGAUUCAAAUAUAAUACAAAUAAAAAUAAUUAUUGAAAUUACCGAACAUUUUUUUGCAUCUCCCUGAUUUACUUCCCACAUUUUCGUUUCAAAUAAAAUUCAAGAAAAAGAAAGACGACGAAAAAAAAUGACUUAAAAAGACAAGGGACAGAAGCUGGUAACUUAGAUGGAUGGGUUAGGACUAUCUCACUUUCGAAAAAUGUUUAUUUGGUUGAGGUGCGGAGUGGAGUGGAGCUUGUGAUUCUUUGCCCUAUAUGAGAGUUUUUUCGUGACCAAUUAUGGUGAUUGUGUACUUUGUAUACAUGUUUCUUCUCAUAUGGUUGAAAUGGGGGCAUUUGUGAGCUUUAAGGUGGCAGUCUUGAUCCACGACCAUAGCUUUACAUGACUUUAAGGUGAGUUCUUGCCUUGGUUCUACACCGUUGAUUGAAAUGAAUUAUGAAAAUUCCUCAUGAUCCGCCAUUUUUACAUGCUAAGUUUUUUUUUUUUGAAAAAUGCAUGCUUAAGUUGAAACGGUGGUUAUCAACUUGAGGUGCCAUAUUUGUGAUUAAGUGGGCCGUAAGUGCAACGGCGUGGUACUCAAAGAGGAACGGUGGGGUGGGUUUCACAUCGUGAUUGUGAUGUGAGUAUGUAUGUGACCAGAGUCCAGGGCCGGCUCAAAAUUAUUCGAGACCUUGUGCUGAUGUAUAAAAAUUGGUUUUUAAAUAAUAUAGUGAAAAUUUUGGACCCUCAAUCUUAGAGGAAAUUGAAAUUUUUUUUUGAGGACCCUGUGCUUUUGCUCCUCUAGCACACCCUUAGAGCUGGCACUGCCAGAGUCACAAGAUAAUCGUGAGCUGGUCUUACUUGUUGAUCGAGAGGCAGCAUUAACUCAUAUAGAAGAAACCAUGGACCUCCGACCUUGGGAGGUUUUCUUGGAAAUUCUUCCAUGAUGGAAGCUUACCGCAUGAGCAUGAUACAGGUAGAUGCAUGAUGGUUUCGGUUGUUUGCUCGAUCGCUUUCUACCACAAACAUAUCUUGCAUCUAAUUGUUGUUGCCUUGUUGGUUCUCAAAUAUUUACUCUCGAAACAGUAAGAUGUUGUUAGCCAUACGUAAAUCAGAAAUAAAAGUAUAGUUGGCUAAAACUGCAGUGAGUAUAGAAUUAACCGAUAUCAAUUUAUUCAAAUUUCCGUCUCUCUUUUCUUUUGUUGGCUAAUAUAUUAUCAUUUGAAGAUAAUAUAUAGUUUUUCCAAGAAAAGAAUAUUGACAAUUUUUUUGUGGUAAGUGAUUUUAAGAAUGACUCCAGAAUCGACAGGUUACCCAGACAAUAUUUAUCAUGGAUAAACCUAUCGAAAAAUCUUAAAAAUCAGUAUUAAUAAAACGGAAGUAGUAAUGAACUUCUAAGCUAUGCAUUACAAUACAUUUAUCUCAAUGUCGAAUUUAAAUAAUUUUCUUAGAACUCCUUUUUUAAUGCGACCUUAUUCACCAAAUCAAGUGAAGCCAAAUUAAAUCAUGCAUGGUAAAUAAAAUAUCCAAAAGCAUUAAAUUUAAGGUAAUGCGUCUGAUUUCUUUCCUCCCAAACGAAAGGAGCCAAAAGCAACCGAUCAAGUGGAAACCAAUAACCACACAUUCACUUCGUUUCCCCCACAAGAGAAGAUAAGAUAAUGGAGUUUUCUGCCACGUGGCAUUAUCCUAGUGGUCCGUACCGAUAAGGGUGUCAACACCUUUCCUUAAUCCUGUGGCAGUAAACGACGUUAUCAUGAAUUAUGGACCCUUUGAUCAUGAGGGGCUUUUUUCCUGUUGCGGUUCUCACUAUAUAAAGAUGACAAAACCAGUAGACAAACAAGUAAGUAAGAGAAAAGAGCAAAAGAAGAAGAGAAACAACAAGAAGUAGUAAUGGCUUCCUCUAUGCUCUCCUCGGCCGCUGUGGUUACCUCCCCGGCUCAAGCCACCAUGGUCGCUCCAUUCUCCGGCUUGAAGUCAUCCGCUGCUUUCCCGGUCACCCGCAAGGCCAACAACGACAUUACUUCCAUCGCAAGCAACGGGGGAAGAGUUAGCUGCAUGAAGGUAAAGUAAAGUCAUUAAUGAAAGAUGUCUUUUGUCAUGGCAAUUAGUGUAAUUGAACAAAACAUAGAAUAAUUGGAAUUGGAUUCGGGAAUUAUAGGUAUGGCCACCAAUCGGAAAGAAGAAGUUUGAGACUUUAUCUUACCUCCCUGACCUUACUGACGUCGAAUUGGCUAAGGAAGUUGACUACCUUCUCCGCAACAAGUGGAUUCCUUGUGUUGAAUUCGAGUUAGAGGUAAUAAACACUGAACCUUUCCUUUGUCUCUAAUCAUUAUAUAUUAUUUUCUUACAUAGCUAAAAACCAAAGUCAAUAAGCUUAUUUUCUACACCAAAGUUGAGGCUAUCAUUGUCCAUCGAAUGGUUUUCUUAUGUGUUUAUAGCAC